UACGGAAGGUGCAAGCGUUGUUCGGAUUGACUGGGCGUAAAGCGCACGUAGGCUGGUUUGCAAGUCGAAUGUGAAAGCCCCGGGCUUAACCUGGGAACUGCAUUCGAAACUGUGAGCCUUGAAUGUUUGAGAGGUUGGUAGAAUUCUAGGUGUAGAAGUGAAAUUCGUAGAGAUCUAGAGGAAUACCGGAGGCGAAGGCGGCCAACUGGCAAAACAUUGACGCUGAGGUGCGAAAGCGUGGGGAGCAAAC
Molecule: ribosomal RNA, 250 nt
Filed under: uncultured bacterium
Lineage: Bacteria
Description: partial 16S ribosomal RNA
Rfam family: Bacterial small subunit ribosomal RNA
Source: RNAcentral